UUUUGACUUCCAUGAGGAAGAUGAACCCAAAUUGGUUCUAGUGGAACCUUUCUUUUUCAAUUGUCGUUCCACUUUCAUGGCCAUGUGAACCAUGUCUUCCAACUCAACAUAGUGCUGCAAGUCAACCACAUUAGCAAUAUCUUGAUUUAACCCAUGUAAAAAUCUUGCCAUAGUGGCCUCUCGUUCUUCUUCAAUGUUGGCUCGAAUCAUGAUUAUUUCCAUCUCCUUGUGGUAAUCUUCCACACUUCUAGAACCUUGUGUAAGACUUUGAAGCCUUUGGUGCAGCUCCCUAUAAUAAUGACUAGGAACAAAUCUCCUCCUCAUGAUGGCCUUCAUCUCCUCCCAAGUGUUUAUAGGCCUUUCACGAUUUCGUCUCCUACUCAAAACAAGUUGAUCCGACCAAAUAAUAGCAUAAUCA
Molecule: long non-coding RNA, 418 nt
Filed under: Citrus sinensis (sweet orange)
Lineage: Eukaryota; Viridiplantae; Streptophyta; Magnoliopsida; Sapindales; Rutaceae
Description: long non-coding RNA (CSIN_LNC005356)
Source: RNAcentral